CUUUAUGAUCAACUCUCCUGGGUUAAGGUCUUCAUCUAGUACAUUUUAAUGUAUAUUUUUAUGUUACGGCUAAAUUAACUUGGACCAAGUGUUUUUAACUUACACUAAGAGUGUUUUAUGAUAAGAACUUAAGUCGUCCCGUGCCACUAUCUCCUCCCACCAGCCUCUGGUAUGGCUGCGGAUACAAACAUUUGCACAAUUAUUAAGUUUAGUUCCUGUUAUGUUUCUUAGAAGAGAAUGGAAUAUGCCCAAUAUUUUCAGAUGAACAUUGAAUGGUGUGCAUUCCAGAAAAUGCAGGCAUGAUAAACACAAUGUUAGUAGAUUGCCAUAAGGUAUAAUUAGGGGAAAUGUAUUAUGUGAUGCUCAUGAUGAAUCCCAUUUGUAAUACCGAACACUUUUGGGAAGAGCAAUACAAACCUAAUUGUUUCUGGAGUACUUGAAGUUUAUCAAAUGUUACACAAUGUCAGUCUAGAACUGUCUAGAACUUGUUCUCAACUGGCCUACCUGGUUAAAUAAAGGUGAAAUAAAAUACGUUAACAUUAAACACAGAUGAAGUCUUAAAGAUAGUUUGCUUUUAUUCACUCUGGGAGAUGAGGAGCUCAGCGUGUGGCCUGAUUUCAUGGUUCUGCAAAUAUGACUGAUUUCUGUGUUUAGUGGAAUUAUGGUAUACCAAUUUUACAGUCUGUGACUGUGAAUAACACAGGUUUUGCAGUUUCCAGUGUCAUUUAGAAAAGCAUGUUGAAUCUGUCAAGUAUUUACAGGAGUGAUAAUGCUUUUGUCAUAGCAACUUUAAAGGUGUCUGAAGAAACUGGGAUGCCAUAACUUUUACAAGGAACAGCGAAGGGCUGAGAGGAGUUCCAAACAGCUGGGGCAAGGGGAAGUUGAGCUAUGCAUUUUUUCCUGAUAUAAGGAAUGUGCCUAAAACCAAAGUAUGGAAGAGGCAAUUUAGGAAUGCGUUGUGAAGCAUAAACUAGGCCACAGUUUGGUUCUCUGAAAUACUACAUUUUGAUCUGUAAAUCUCUAUUCUGC
Molecule: long non-coding RNA, 1029 nt
Organism: Oncorhynchus tshawytscha (Chinook salmon)
Lineage: Eukaryota; Metazoa; Chordata; Actinopteri; Salmoniformes; Salmonidae
Source: Ensembl